CUUCCAUCACCACCACCUCUUCCAGAGAAAGUUGACCCACCUAUUGUCACUCUUGAUGAUCUCUUCCGCAAAACCAAAGCAACUCCUCGGAUCUACUACUUGCCUUUGACCGAUGAGCAAGUUGCUGCAAAACUUGCUGCACAGGGUAAGGAUCCGAGGAGGUGGGCCAAGUAACCUGCAAUUCUUCCCUGGAAGCUUUUACUGAUUUGGUUUUAUUUUUCAUCGUGCUAGUUAGUGGUAUGGAUUUAUUAUGAAUGCGGCAGAUCUGGUCGUGUUUUGUCUCGGGAAGAAAUUGUAGU
RNAcentral lists this long non-coding RNA (299 nucleotides) under Vigna radiata. RNAcentral's name for it is "long non-coding RNA (VRAD_LNC002234)". The record is from RNAcentral. Lineage: Eukaryota; Viridiplantae; Streptophyta; Magnoliopsida; Fabales; Fabaceae.